This 250-nucleotide ribosomal RNA is filed under the name uncultured bacterium. RNAcentral describes it as "partial 16S ribosomal RNA". It matches the Rfam family "Bacterial small subunit ribosomal RNA", at positions 524 to 777 of the family's 1533-position model. The record is from RNAcentral.
UACGGAGGGUCGAGCGUUAAUCGGAAUACUGGCGUAAAGCGCACGCAGGCGGUUUGUUAAGCUAGAUGUGAAAGCCCCCGGGCUCAACCUGGGAUGGUCAUUUAGAACUGGCAGACUAGAGUCUUGGAGAGGGGAGUGGAAUUCCAGGUGUAGCGGUGAAAUGCGUAGAUAUCUGGAGGAACAUCAGUGGCGAAGGCGACUCCCUGGCCAAAGACUGACGCUCAUGUGCGAAAGUGUGGGGCGAACAGGA